Cavia porcellus (domestic guinea pig) is the source of this 162-nucleotide small nuclear RNA. Its record names the gene U1. It matches the Rfam family "U1 spliceosomal RNA". From Rfam's summary of the family: U1 is a small nuclear RNA (snRNA) component of the spliceosome (involved in pre-mRNA splicing). The record is from Ensembl. Lineage: Eukaryota; Metazoa; Chordata; Mammalia; Rodentia; Caviidae.
AUACUUUCCUGGUGGGGAGAUACCGUGAUCAGGAAGGUGGUUUUCCCCGGGUAAGGCUUUUCCCCUGCACUCCAGAUGUGCUGACCCCUGUGAUGCCCCAUAUGCUGGAAACUCAGCUGCAUAAUUUGCAGUGGUGUGGGACUGUGUUCACACCGUGCUUUG